This 487-nucleotide long non-coding RNA is filed under the name Spirodela polyrhiza (greater duckweed). RNAcentral's name for it is "long non-coding RNA (SPOL_LNC002300)". Lineage: Eukaryota; Viridiplantae; Streptophyta; Magnoliopsida; Alismatales; Araceae. The record is from RNAcentral.
AAGUACAAUUCGUCCUUCUAGAGCCAUGGGUGAAACCCCGUCCUCUAUCUCCCACUUCUCUCUCUCUCACUCUCCUCCCCCCCCCCCCCUUCAGUCACUCUCUCGCUCGUUCGCUCCCUCUCUUUCUCACAUUAGACAGGCGUCCCUUUGACUCGGCGAAGGCCGGCCACACCCAUUGACGAUAUCAGACGACAGCGAAGCCACACCUGAUAACAUUAAAAGGCCUACGUUUAAAGUGCAAGCACGUGCAUGCGCGCCCAUAGGGGCGUCUUAUUUAAGGAGAGGGGCCCUGCGCCGCGUCGAGCGCGAAGGCCGCCGUCAGCUUCAGCGGCCCCAGGCCGACUACAUCUUCUCAGUUGUGCUUCUCGGCGGCGGCAGCCAUGUACUCCUUCCGGCUGCAGCACCAACAGUUGUAGCGGAACCUAUUGCAGCAACGGUAGCGGCACCGCCGCCACGGCGGGUAGCCUCCGCCCGGGUAAGGGUAGCC